CCUACGGGAGGCAGCAGUAAGGAAUAUUGGUCAAUGGACGAAAGUCUGAACCAGCCAUGCCGCGUGAAGGAUUAAGGCCCUCUGGGUUGUAAACUUCUUUUAUCUGGGACGAAAAAAGGGUAUUCUUACUCACUUGACGGUACCAGAGGAAUAAGCACCGGCUAACUCCGUGCCAGCAGCCGCGGUAAUACGGAGGGUGCAAGCGUUAUCCGGAUUUACUGGGUUUAAAGGGUGCGUAGGUGGGCUUGUAAGUCAGUGGUGAAAUCUCCGGGCUUAACCCGGAAACUGCCAUUGAUACUAUAGGUCUUGAAUUAUCUGGAGGUAAGCGGAAUAUGUCAUGUAGCGGUGAAAUGCUUAGAUAUGACAUAGAACACCAAUUGCGAAGGCAGCUUACUACGGAUAUAUUGACACUGAGGCACGAAAGCGUGGGGAUCAAACAGGAUUAGAUACCCUGGUAGUCCACGCCCUAAACGAUGGAUACUCGACAUCAGCGAUACACUGUUGGUGUCUGAGCGAAAGCAUUAAGUAUCCACCUGGGAAGUACGAUCGCAGAUUGAAACUCAAAGGAAUUGACGGCUGAGACGNGCGAGACGACGACGAGGAGAGG
RNAcentral lists this ribosomal RNA (607 nucleotides) under uncultured bacterium. RNAcentral describes it as "bacterial SSU rRNA". It matches the Rfam family "Bacterial small subunit ribosomal RNA", at positions 338 to 946 of the family's 1533-position model. The record is from RNAcentral.